Molecule: ribosomal RNA, 441 nt
Filed under: Gordonibacter pamelaeae
Lineage: Bacteria; Bacillati; Actinomycetota; Coriobacteriia; Eggerthellales; Eggerthellaceae
Description: bacterial SSU rRNA
Rfam family: Bacterial small subunit ribosomal RNA
Source: RNAcentral
CCUACGGGAGGCAGCAGUGGGGAAUUUUGCGCAAUGGGGGGAACCCUGACGCAGCAACGCCGCGUGCGGGAUGAAGGCCUUCGGGUUGUAAACCGCUUUCAGCAGGGAAGAUAGUGACGGUACCUGCAGAAGAAGCCCCGGCUAACUACGUGCCAGCAGCCGCGGUAAUACGUAGGGGGCGAGCGUUAUCCGGAUUCAUUGGGCGUAAAGCGCGCGUAGGCGGCCCGUCAAGCGGAACCUCUAACCCGAGGGCUCAACCCCCGGUCGGGUUCCGAACUGGCAGGCUCGAGUUUGGUAGAGGAAGAUGGAAUUCCCGGUGUAGCGGUGGAAUGCGCAGAUAUCGGGAAGAACACCGAUGGCGAAGGCAGUCUUCUGGGCCAUCAACUGACGCUGAGGCGCGAAAGCUGGGGGAGCGAACAGGAUUAGAUACCCUGGUAGUCC